RNAcentral lists this ribosomal RNA (508 nucleotides) under Sutcliffiella halmapala. RNAcentral's name for it is "bacterial SSU rRNA". It matches the Rfam family "Bacterial small subunit ribosomal RNA", at positions 36 to 524 of the family's 1533-position model. Lineage: Bacteria; Bacillati; Bacillota; Bacilli; Caryophanales; Bacillaceae. The record is from RNAcentral.
GGCCCGGGCGGGCGUGCUAUACAUGCAAGUCGAGCGGACUUACAAAAGCUUGCUUUUGUAAGUUAGCGGCGGACGGGUGAGUAACACGUGGGCAACCUGCCCUUGAGACUGGGAUAACUUCGGGAAACCGGAGCUAAUACCGGAUAAUAUAAGAAACCUCCUGGUUCCUUAUUGAAAGAUGGUUUCGGCUAUCACUUAAGGAUGGGCCCGCGGCGCAUUAGCUAGUUGGUGAGGUAACGGCUCACCAAGGCGACGAUGCGUAGCCGACCUGAGAGGGUGAUCGGCCACACUGGGACUGAGACACGGCCCAGACUCCUACGGGAGGCAGCAGUAGGGAAUCUUCCACAAUGGACGAAAGUCUGAUGGAGCAACGCCGCGUGAGUGAUGAAGGCCUUCGGGUCGUAAAGCUCUGUUGUUAGGGAAGAACAAGUGCGAGAGUAACUGCUCGCACCUUGACGGUACCUAACCAGAAAGCCACGGCUAACUACGUGCCAGCAGCCGCGGUAAU